UUUCAUGGCAUCCUUUUUGGCGAUGAAUCGUGCUUUCCCUUCUCACCGUAUGCGUGAUGAUGGGUGGCGACCCAAGCCGUAUGACCUUCUUCAUUGUUUCGCGUGCCAUGCCCGUGACGCAGAUGCAGAGGGGUUGCGUGCUGCUUUGAAGUAAAUGUGGCUGAUUUGGAGUUGCCUUGGUGCCGCGCGCACCUCGCACACCCUUGGGCAUGUUCCCCCGAUCGCCGUGCAACAUCGCUCCUUCGCUUGUCUCCGCCGAACAGGUGGGUCGUGCGGGGGAUGUGUACAUGUUGUCCAGAGGUUGCGUUACCUGGUUGAUCCUGCCAGUAGUCAUAUGCUUG
This 341-nucleotide unclassified non-coding RNA is filed under the name Arthrochilus prolixus. Its description in RNAcentral is "partial contains external transcribed spacer and 18S ribosomal RNA". Lineage: Eukaryota; Viridiplantae; Streptophyta; Magnoliopsida; Asparagales; Orchidaceae. The record is from RNAcentral.